AUGUUUCUUUUUUUUGUUAUACAGCGUGGCAAACCAGAGUCUGUUUUGCGUUCUAGAGAAACGAGGACGUCAAUGGAGCAAGCACAGUCUGGUUUUGCGCGCAUGCUGCGAGAAGGCAUCCUCACCGACAUCACCAUCAACGCCAUUGGUGGCAGCAUCAAGGCCCACCGCGCCGUUCUGGCCGCACGGUCAUCAGUGUUCUUGAGGAUGUUCUCGCACAACCUCAAGGAGAAGAAGCUCUCCACGGUUGACAUCUCCGACAUGUCGAUCGACGCAUGUCAGACCUUCGUCGGCUACCUCUACGGUGUCAUCGCGUCGGAGGACGAGCUGCUCACGCACCGGAGCGAGCUCCUCGCGGCCGGUGACAAGUACGGCAUCGCGGACCUCAAGAAGGCGUGCGAGGAGAGCCUUAGGAGGGACGUGAGCACGGAGAACGUGCUGGAGAGGCUGCAGACGGCACACACCUAUGGACUGCCGGCGCUCAGGAGGACCUGCGUGAGGCUGCUCGUGGACUUCGGGAAGAUGUACGAGAUUCCCAAGGAUUUUGCAGAGUUCAUGGAUACCACGGACCAGGAUCUCAUAGACGAAAUCCGUUCGACUGCAACUCUCAGUGGGAGAAAACUUGCGGCCAGAAAGAAGACUGCAGCUAAAAUUACUAGGCGCCGUAGCUUCUAA
RNAcentral lists this ribosomal RNA (675 nucleotides) under Triticum aestivum (bread wheat). Its description in RNAcentral is "partial small subunit ribosomal RNA". Lineage: Eukaryota; Viridiplantae; Streptophyta; Magnoliopsida; Poales; Poaceae. The record is from RNAcentral.